GUCUCUAAAAUCAAGUCUCCAUCACCAGUGGUCAUUCCACAACGAGUCACAAAAAUCGAGUCAUUCUCAAAAGUUCGUUUUGAAAGCGUCACUCUUUGAGUCAUUCCUCGAAAAAAAAGAGAGAGAGGAAAAUGUCAAUUCAAUCGCCGGGGUUUCCAAUACAACCCUAGAAAAUGUCAAACACAAUCGUUGAGAGGUAAUUCUUUAAUACCUCGUCUCCAC
This 222-nucleotide long non-coding RNA is filed under the name Jatropha curcas. RNAcentral's name for it is "long non-coding RNA (JCUR_LNC002563)". Lineage: Eukaryota; Viridiplantae; Streptophyta; Magnoliopsida; Malpighiales; Euphorbiaceae. The record is from RNAcentral.